GGGACAUGGCAUGCUCAGGGAAGGAAGUGGAGGAGGUGGGCAUUGCCAUGGAAAACAUUUUCUUCCUAGUAUGAUCAUGCAAAGACCCCAGCUACAGUGGGAGCAGAGCUGCCUGCCUUCUAGAGACUGAAGUUUGUGUCUCAGCCUCUGUUGGAAAGCUGUCCCAGCUGUGCAGAGACUGCUUCUUUCCACUGAAGAGUCUGACUUUGGCAGGAACCUAGGUGACAAUGGAUCUUGCUCUGAGAGCAGCCACUUGGCCCACCAACCACAUCCAAGUUGGAUUACACUGUCCUCUACAGCUUCUCCUGGAAUGGCAGGAACAGUCAUCUGUACCAAGAAAUUUCACUGAGCUGGAGCAGCAGAUUCCAGCUAAGGACCAGAACGAACAGAGCACUGAUUUUGUAAGCAAGUAGUUUAAAUGGGGUGAAGCUUGGGGGCAUGCAAGACAAAUCAGGCUCCUGAAAGGGGUACAGUAGUCUGGAAAUGUUGAGAGCCACUGACCUGGAAAGAGGGCGUCUUCCGCACCAUUCAACUAUAAAAAUGGGAGGUCUGACCCUCAAAUGACGAGUCAGUUAAUUGCAUAGACUAUUACUACACUAUUAAGGCCUUAACUUGCCUAGCAUUGUUGAAUCCACAGUAUUGCUCACAGCACAAUUUUGAGUGGGAGCCCUAGAUGGCCACUCAAAAUUGUGGCAAAGCAAUAAUGAAACCUUAUUAUGCAAAAUUAGUUUUCCACGAUUUCUCAUGUCUUUUCUACAAGCCAGAGAAUUUUGAGUUAUCCCACAAGUGCAGCCUUAUGUACUAUAAAAGUGCAUCAAAUGAGGUCUUGUAUGCAAGCCUAUGAUACACUGGUGAUUAAUAUUUAGGAUGUGAGGAAUUAUGGAUAAUCAUGGAUA
This is a long non-coding RNA of Dermochelys coriacea (leatherback sea turtle), 896 nucleotides long. RefSeq lists it as uncharacterized. The transcript is spliced from 4 exons. NCBI's taxonomy places the organism in Eukaryota, Metazoa, Chordata, Testudines, Dermochelyidae. The record is from RefSeq and is a predicted model, not a curated record.